UCACCAUCGAGACCGGCGGAGGGACAGGCCCUUUGAUGCCGGGGCAGCCAGCGGAGCGCGCAAGCGCCCGCGUUUGGUGCCAAAUCCUGCGGGGACCUCCGCGUCCGCCGAAAGAUGGUUC
Xanthomonas campestris pv. campestris is the source of this 121-nucleotide regulatory RNA element. It matches the Rfam family "SAM riboswitch aptamer (S box leader)". From Rfam's summary of the family: The SAM riboswitch is found upstream of a number of genes which code for proteins involved in methionine or cysteine biosynthesis in Gram-positive bacteria. The SAM riboswitch acts at the level of transcription termination control. The predicted structure consists of a complex stem-loop region followed by a single stem loop terminator region. Lineage: Bacteria; Pseudomonadati; Pseudomonadota; Gammaproteobacteria; Lysobacterales; Lysobacteraceae. The record is from Rfam.